CCCAGACUCCUACGGGAGGCAGCAGUGGGGAAUUUUGGACAAUGGGCGAAAGCCUGAUCCAGCAAUGCCGCGUGUGUGAAGAAGGCCUUCGGGUUGUAAAGCACUUUUGUCCGGAAAGAAAUCCUUGGCUCUAAUACAGUCGGGGGAUGACGGUACCGGAAGAAUAAGCACCGGCUAACUACGUGCCAGCAGCCGCGGUAAUACGUAGGGUGCGAGCGUUAAUCGGAAUUACUGGGCGUAAAGCGUGCGCAGGCGGUUUGCUAAGACCGAUGUGAAAUCCCCGGGCUCAACCUGGGAACUGCAUUGGUGACUGGCAGGCUAGAGUAUGGCAGAGGGGGGUAGAAUUCCACGUGUAGCAGUGAAAUGCGUAGAGAUGUGGAGGAAUACCGAUGGCGAAGGCAGCCCCCUGGGCCAAUACUGACGCUCAUGCACGAAAGCGUGGGGAGCAAACAGGAUUAGAUACCCUGGUAGUCCACGCCCUAAACGAUGUCAACUAGUUGUUGGGGAUUCAUUUCCUUAGUAACGUAGCUAACGCGUGAAGUUGACCGCCUGGGGAGUACGGUCGCAAGAUUAAAACUCAAAGGAAUUGACGGGGACCCGCACAAGCGGUGGAUGAUGUGGAUUAAUUCGAUGCAACGCGAAAAACCUUACCUACCCUUGACAUGGUCGGAAUCCUGCUGAGAGG
Molecule: ribosomal RNA, 685 nt
Filed under: Burkholderia cenocepacia
Lineage: Bacteria; Pseudomonadati; Pseudomonadota; Betaproteobacteria; Burkholderiales; Burkholderiaceae
Description: bacterial SSU rRNA
Rfam family: Bacterial small subunit ribosomal RNA
Source: RNAcentral